This 460-nucleotide ribosomal RNA is filed under the name uncultured bacterium. RNAcentral's name for it is "bacterial SSU rRNA". It matches the Rfam family "Bacterial small subunit ribosomal RNA", at positions 63 to 507 of the family's 1533-position model. The record is from RNAcentral.
CUUCGAGACAGGAUUAGCAAUUUAUUACAAAUGCGUCUUCGUAGCGAUAGGAAAACAGAGGAGGGAAAGUGAGAAGUGAUGGCGAGCGGCGGACGGCAGAGUAACGCGUAGGAACAUACCCAAACUGAGGGAUAACUGCUCGAAAGAGUAGCUAAUACCGCAUGUGGUCUUCGGAUUAAAGCUUCGGCGGUUUGGGAAUGGCCUGCGUCCGAUUAGCUUGUUGGUGAGGUAAAAGCUCACCAAGGCGACGAUCGGUAGCUGGUCUGAGAGGAUGAUCAGCCUGACUGGAACUGAGAACGGUCCAGACUCCUACGGGAGGCAGCAGUAGGGAAUUUUCCACAAUGGGCGAAAGCCUGAUGGAGCAACGCCGCGUGCAGGAUGAAUGCCUUCGGGUUGUAAACUGCUUUUAUUAGUGAAGAAUAUGACGGUAACUAAUGAAUAAGGGUCGGCUAACUACGUG